Molecule: ribosomal RNA, 1373 nt
Filed under: uncultured bacterium
Lineage: Bacteria
Description: bacterial SSU rRNA
Rfam family: Bacterial small subunit ribosomal RNA
Source: RNAcentral
GAUGAACGCUGGCGGCGUGCCUAAUACAUGCAAGUCGAGCGAACGGACGAGAAGCUUGCUUCUCUGAUGUUAGCGGCGGACGGGUGAGUAACACGUGGAUAACCUACCUAUAAGACUGGGAUAACUUCGGGAAACCGGAGCUAAUACCGGAUAAUAUUUUGAACCGCAUGGUUCAAAAGUGAAAGACGGUCUUGCUGUCACUUAUGGAUGGAUCCGCGCUGCAUUAGCUAGUUGGUAAGGUAACGGCUUACCAAGGCAACGAUGCAUAGCCGACCUGAGAGGGUGAUCGGCCACACUGGAACUGAGACACGGUCCAGACUCCUACGGGAGGCAGCAGUAGGGAAUCUUCCGCAAUGGGCGAAAGCCUGACGGAGCAACGCCGCGUGAGUGAUGAAGGUCUUCGGAUCGUAAAACUCUGUUAUUAGGGAAGAACAUAUGUGUAAGUAACUGUGCACAUCUUGACGGUACCUAAUCAGAAAGCCACGGCUAACUACGUGCCAGCAGCCGCGGUAAUACGUAGGUGGCAAGCGUUAUCCGGAAUUAUUGGGCGUAAAGCGCGCGUAGGCGGUUUUUUAAGUCUGAUGUGAAAGCCCACGGCUCAACCGUGGAGGGUCAUUGGAAACUGGAAAACUUGAGUGCAGAAGAGGAAAGUGGAAUUCCAUGUGUAGCGGUGAAAUGCGCAGAGAUAUGGAGGAACACCAGUGGCGAAGGCGACUUUCUGGUCUGUAACUGACGCUGAUGUGCGAAAGCGUGGGGAUCAAACAGGAUUAGAUACCCUGGUAGUCCACGCCGUAAACGAUGAGUGCUAAGUGUUAGGGGGUUUCCGCCCCUUAGUGCUGCAGCUAACGCAUUAAGCACUCCGCCUGGGGAGUACGACCGCAAGGUUGAAACUCAAAGGAAUUGACGGGGACCCGCACAAGCGGUGGAGCAUGUGGUUUAAUUCGAAGCAACGCGAAGAACCUUACCAAAUCUUGACAUCCUUUGACAACUCUAGAGAUAGAGCCUUCCCCUUCGGGGGGGCAAAGUGACAGGUGGUGCAUGGUUGUCGUCAGCUCGUGUCGUGAGAUGUUGGGUUAAGUCCCGCAACGAGCGCAACCCUUAAGCUUAGUUGCCAUCAUUAAGUUGGGCACUCCAAGUUGACUGCCGGUGACAAACCGGAGGAAGGUGGGGAUGACGUCAAAUCAUCAUGCCCCUUAUGAUUUGGGCUACACACGUGCUACAAUGGACAAUACAAAGGGCAGCGAAACCGCGAGGUCAAGCAAAUCCCAUAAAGUUGUUCUCAGUUCGGAUUGUAGUCUGCAACUCGACUACAUGAAGCUGGAAUCGCUAGUAAUCGUAGAUCAGCAUGCUACGGUGAAUACGUUCCCGGGUCU